AAGAUACUUUGCAUCUAAAAGGGAUUUCAUCAUGGUGUUUAAGUUUCUAUCAGCAUGAAGAAAUUGUGCCUCUCUUUACAAAUCAUUGGUUCAUGCUAGGUAGGUAGUAAUGCAUACUCUCGUUUUACAAGUCUGUUCAACAAUGCAAAUGUUCACAUAAGUGUAGCUGAGAGAAACAGUUUUGCAGGUAAGUUACCACAACACUUGGCACAUAGCUUUUUUCAUGCAGCAUGUUAACAAUUAUUUUGAAAUAUGUUUACAGUGUAAAUCUCAUGUUACAUAUUGUGCAUUUAACCCUAUCAUCUUGUACGUUUCUCUUGUGUUGUCCUUUCAAAUCAGCUGUACAUUGAAAGUGAUGCCAGCCGACUAACUGAAUUUUUUUUUUUCUCUCAUAUGGCACUAACCAAGGAACCUAUAUGCACUUGAAUGUGACUUCAUUCUCCUCCACCAUUAAACGUGGUUCCCUGUCUUUGGAGUCUCCGGAGAAGUACCAUUCACUUAUUAACAUAGAAGAUGGUCUGUAUUCUUGCAAGCAGUGCACCUAUGUGACCAAGUCAACCUCACUAAUGAAAAAGCACCUUCGCAUACACACAGGCGAGCGCCCCUUCCUGUGCCAUUUGUGUCCUGCAGCCUUCCCUCAGAACUGCAACCUCAAGCGGCACUUGCGCACCCACGUAGGAGAGCGUCCCUUUUCCUGUGUCCACUGCAGUGCAUCCUUUUCGCAGAAAGGACACCUGGAAGACCACUUGCGCACCCACACAGGAGAGCGUCCCUUCUCUUGUCUCUACUGCACUUCAUCCUUUAAGUCAAAGUCCAACCUCAGGGUGCAUAUACGCAGCCACACAGGAGAGCGUCCCUUUUCCUGUAUGCACUGCGGUUAUUCCUUUACACAGAAAUGGAACCUCGUCAACCACAUCCCCCGUUGUCAUGCGAAGAAGAAACCCUGAAGGUCAGUUGUGUGCAACUUUUCUUGUGCCUCGGAAAGAUAGCUUCUCAGGGUAUAUUGUUUAGAGAAGAAUCACUCCACGGCAAACGUCCCAUCCAUUUUGGUGACCAUCUCAGCCAACUACUAUUCUGGCAGCAGUGCGCCAAUGUCACCACGAACAAGGCACAGACGAAUAUGCUCAUUUGCAAGCACACAUGCGAGCAUCCCAUCCAGUGCUACUUGUGUCCGGCUGCGUUCACUCAUACAGGAGAGCUUGCAAACCCAUAUAGACUAGAACACAGCGAAUUCCAUGCGCAGCGCCAUAUUUGCGUUGCGCCAUCUUAUCGCACAUGCGACGAAACAACAUUCCCCGGCUGCCAUGCCAGCAGACGCUACACAGAGCAAAUGCGAAACUCCCGAAACUCAUCCCGUCGGAGAGCGUGUUUCGCGUCUUUUCUAACCUGGACAUUUUCGCUGCUUUUAUUGGAAUAUCAAGAACACCUUGCUCAUGCAUGUCCACAAUGUAUAUAUACAGUAUGUGCUGAGCAGGCUGCGGAAGCAACCUCGUCAGGUACGUGCACUGUUACAUUUGUAAAAGAACGUUCUCACUGGUACGCAUGAAUCGUAAUUGCAGUGCAGCUCGCGAAAGAGUGACACGAUGUUUCGUUGCCCCAUAUUAUGAGUUGUGCACACAGAUUUGUGAAAACUCAUCAUUUCUUCAUGCAUCGCGUAAUAAUUAGAGUACGCUUUACGGGUGGUUUCGCGGAACGUAAUUUUUGUUUCACGAGCGCUCUUACAAUCACGCAUCUUGCUCACAAAAGCAUGCUAUCAGAGAGUCUCACGUGCAGUAUCGUUCAUCGAUCCCUUUUGGAAGCUAUCUGCGCUAUUUUAAUCUUGUAACUAUGAUGCUUUACAAGCGAAACUGUGCUACUCUUAGUUAAGCCGAUAUUGAAUUGGGCGGAAUCCAGCUGUCUUUUAUUAAAUGUGUGUGUUGUAUAAAUAAGCUAAAAAUUUAGCUGCUUGAGCUAGCGCUACGCCUACGACGUAAAGGACACUGGCAUGAGUACUGUUUACUUACGUGCCAAUAUAUGUAUUAUGUGCAGCUGGAUGCCUCGUGUCCAAAUAAAUUUGGGGACAUCAAACACUGAAAUGAAAGCACGAAAUUCUGGCCAGCUGUUGAGGAACACUGUACCAUUUACUACCUUUAGAAGACGAAAUCUUGAAGGCGUGGAUGCCAUCAAAAGCACUAAAGCUUAAUACUACGUUGAAAGUGGCAAAGCAUGCUGAUUGCUUGUGCUUGAAGGCACUACCUUGCACUACAUCUUCGUCAAAUGAAACGCUCAAAGGAAUGAAGUGCACCCCCACACAAAGCUCACGCAUGCCUUCAACCCAGCUGCGUGUUACGCAAAUUCGGUUCGUAAAAUGAAAUAGGUGGGCAUCACACUACAGAAUACACGCACUUAGUAUACUUACUCGCGCAUUCUCACUUGGCUCCUAGUUUUUCUGCUUGAAUCACAGUUAUCCACUCAUGGCGAAGCUGAAAACACCGCACCGGCACUAUUCGCGUGGCGCUUCGUGAUCAUCGCAGACAGCGCUAAUAUCCUCCUGUUGCAUUGCUUGUUUGGCAUCUAAAGACUACGCAGUAGUGCCCAGACGAGCUCUUAUACGCGGAAGCGGCGUGAACGGGUAGUUUUUCGCACUUUAAAGCCUCAGAACUGCAGCUUGCCCGGUUUACUUAGCGCAAGCAAUGCGCGCCUUGGCAGCCCGGUCAGCCCGGCAUCUGGGAGCGAGAGUAUCCAUAUCCACUCCGCUCGCCAGCAGCCUGGGUGCGAGACAGGCGUGCUCUGGUGUAUAGGAGAGCGUCCCUUUCCUUGUAUUUACUGGAAUUUCAUCCUUUUCCGUGAAGACCACCCUUCCCUAAUGCAGCAGUGGUGCUGCGUACCCACACAGGAGAGGUUGCCUUCUUCUGUGUCUGCUGUAAUAGAUCCUUUUGCUGAGACGCAACCCCUAAUUCCACGUCUCCAGCCAUCAUGCAAAGAAGUCCUAAACGUCGGUGCCGUAUGGACUUUCCCUGGAAGGAGAGGAGAAAGGUUUUGUAGUAGUUGUCGCCUUGCAUUUGAAGUUGCAGCAACAAGAGGGUUCUGAAUGCAAGGAGGUGGCACCUUGCAACAGAUAUUGAAGGUAGAGGCAGCAAUAAAGGCUUUUUCUUGUUACAA
Rhipicephalus sanguineus (brown dog tick) is the source of this 3141-nucleotide long non-coding RNA. RefSeq lists it as uncharacterized. The record is from RefSeq and is a predicted model, not a curated record. The transcript is spliced from 2 exons. Lineage: Eukaryota; Metazoa; Arthropoda; Arachnida; Ixodida; Ixodidae.